UGGGGAAUACUGCACAAUGGGGGGAAACCCUGAUGCAGCGACGCCGCGUGAAGGAAGAAGUAUCUCGGUAUGUAAACUUCUAUCAGCAGGGAAGAUAAUGACGGUACCCGAAUAAGCAUCGGCUAACUCCGUGCCAGCAGCCGCGGUAAUACGGAGGAUGCGAGCGUUAUCCGGAUUUAUUGGGUUUAAAGGGUGCGCAGGCGGCGCGAAAAGUCAGCGGUCAAAGUUCCGGGCUCAACCCGGUGACGCCGUUGAAACUUUCGGGCUGGAGUUCGUGCGAGGGAGGCGGAAUGCGUUGUGUAGCGGUGAAAUGCAUAGAUAUGACGCAGAACCCCGAUUGCGAAGGCAGCUUUCCAGCACGCGACUGACGCUGAGGCACGAAAGCGUGGGGAGCGAACAGGAUUAGAUACCCUGGUAGU
Molecule: ribosomal RNA, 419 nt
Filed under: uncultured Porphyromonadaceae bacterium
Lineage: Bacteria; Pseudomonadati; Bacteroidota; Bacteroidia; Bacteroidales; Porphyromonadaceae
Description: bacterial SSU rRNA
Rfam family: Bacterial small subunit ribosomal RNA
Source: RNAcentral